Molecule: long non-coding RNA, 2446 nt
Filed under: Sus scrofa (pig)
Lineage: Eukaryota; Metazoa; Chordata; Mammalia; Artiodactyla; Suidae
Description: lncRNA (ENSSSCG00055011580.1)
Source: RNAcentral
CCACGAGAGCCGGAGGUCAAGGUUGGCAUGAGCGGAAGCCCAAGGGAUAGACUUGUGGGCCAGAGGCUCUGGCAGCGCAGGAAGCCCAGCCCGUGAGGAGGGGCUACAGAGCUGAGCUGCAAGCAUCCCUUAGAGCCGUGGGUUUCCAGUUGCUCAACUGGACCUAGCAGAGCUGCGGCUUCUAGGACCGUAGCCAUCAGCCUCCUGGAAGCAUCUCCAUAUACACUGAAUAAAAGGAAAUGAAAUUGAAAAACACAGCUCCCUGGUGACACUAGCCAUGUUUCAAGACGCUACUGUAUCAUUGCCAACAUCAUGGAAGGUUCUAUGGGGACGGCCGGGCACUAGAAGACUGUGGAGUCCACCUGGGAGGGGGAUGAGCAGCAUUGGAAAAGACAGUGAACAGGGUCCAGGAGCUAGAAGAGGACACAGUCCCGGCCACCUAGAGCUUGGGGACUGGUACGAUCGAAGGGACGUGAGGUAACUGCAGCCCAUUUGUUCAUUCGUCCAAUCAGCGGAGCUGAGUAAAUGUCACCUGUCUGACCGGUUACAACAUCACCUCGGGAAUCCUCUCGCCAACAGACAAGGACCCCCAUUCAACCGACUGGCUCCAAGCUGAGCCUUGGAGAGGUGGCUGGGGACAGGAGGAAAAGACGGAGCCCCCCGUGCAUUGCCAGGAUUUCUCUUUCCGUAUCCCAGCCUCCCUGCUCCCUGGGGCACACAGGUGGAUGGCGGAGGCAGCCAGUGAAGGCACCAACCGAGGGGCAGAACCUCCACAUGCCAUGGGCGCAGGCCAAAUGGAGAGAGUGAUGGAGAGAGGAAGAAACGCUGGGAGACACAACCUCCAAGUCUCAAGUGGAAACGGGGAGAGAGGCGUCAUGGGAGGGAGCAGCUCUCGAAGUCCCAGCUGGCCCCCCCUAGCUUCGCAAGGACAGCGCUACCUCUCCUCAUCUCUAAGACACCAUCCACCACUGUACGGCGCACUUUUCCGUAUCACUCAGAAAGAGAAACCGCUGGCAAUUAAAUUUGCCGACACGAUAUCGUGAGCUUUUUCGGGCACACAGAGUUUGGGGAACUAUAUGAUGGACAGGCACACGCGCGCCACCCAGCCUCUGCCGCUGACAUGUGGUCCUAUCGCACAUCGGUGCCUCGAGCCAUCCAUCAUUCCACCUUUUUUAAAAAAAAUUAUUAAAUAGUUGAUUGACAAUGCAGUGCCCAUCUUUUUUUCUUUUUUUUGGAUGCAUUUCAAAGUAGCUCGCAGACAUCAUAAUAGACCCUGGCGUACGUAUCAUUAACUAGAGCUGAAUAUGUGUUCACAGUCCUUUAGUUAGCAGGAAACCUACAAAGAACGCAAAUCUUGAGCAAAAACAUUCACCGAUAUUUGACAAAUGCUUACACCUGUGUGAGCCAAACCCUUUCAAGACACAGAACCCCAAAAAUUUCCUUCCUUUCCUGUGCCAGGCAACCCCCACCCCCACCCCCACUCCCAGAGAAAACCACUCUUGUGGUUAGUUUUGCCUGUUCUAGAACUUCCUGUAAAUGGACUCGUACAGUCUGUAUUCAACAUGAUACCUUUGAUGUCUUUUGAUAUUCUUUGAUCUUCCGCAUAAGGCCUCUGAGAUCCGGCCAAGUUGUUCUGGGGAUCAGUAAUCCAUUCCUUUUAUCACUGAGUCGUUCCCCAGGGUGUGGGCGUUGCAGGGUUGGUGCCGCCAUUCCUCUGCUGAUUGACACCUGGGCUGUUUUCUGUGUUGGGCUGUUAAAGCAUUUUAAGGUCAUCGCAUUUUUAAGGCAAUCCUGAUUUCACUUCAAAGUGGGGACCUCCAGUCCCAGGCAAGGGGAGCUGAGUGCUGACCACCAGCACCAAUUCACCAAGUUCAUCCUGCCAGCGGCCCUUGCUGGGUCUCUCUCUGUUUCACAAAUGUGAAACUGAUAGGGAAAGAGGUUAAACCAUUUACAAAUGUGAAACUGAUAGUGAAAGAGGUUAAACAGCAGGGAGUUCCCGCUGUGGCUCAGCAGAACGAACCCCACUAGCAUCCAUGAGGAUGCGAAUUUGAUCUCUGGCUCUGCUCAGGGGAUUAAAGAUCCGGCGUUGCCGUGAGCUGUGGUGUAGGUGGAAGACAUGGCUUGGAUCCUUCAUUGCUGUGGCAGUGGUGUAGGCCGGCAGCUGUAGCUCCACUUCGACCCCUAGCCUGGGAACUUCCCAUAGGUAGGCCGCCCCCCGCCCCCGAAUCGAAACCUAUAUCUUGGGAGUUCCCACUGUGGCACCGUGGGUUAAGGAUCCAACUGCAGUGGCUUGGGUCACUGCAGACACUCGGGUUUGAUCCCAGCCCAGGGCAGUAGGUUAAAGGAUCCCAUGUUGCUACAGCUGAGGCUCGGAUUCAUUCCUUAGCCUGGGAACUUCCAUAUGCUGCAGGUGUGGCCAAAAAAUAUAUAUAUAUAUAUAAAUAAA